GGGGAUUUGGCUCAGUGGUAAAAGCACCUGCCUGGCAAGCACAAAGUUGUGAGUUCGAACCCUGGUAUCCCCC
This 73-nucleotide transfer RNA is filed under the name Cavia porcellus (domestic guinea pig). It matches the Rfam family "tRNA". From Rfam's summary of the family: Transfer RNA (tRNA) molecules are approximately 80 nucleotides in length. Their secondary structure includes four short double-helical elements and three loops (D, anti-codon, and T loops). Further hydrogen bonds mediate the characteristic L-shaped molecular structure. tRNAs have two regions of fundamental functional importance: the anti-codon, which is responsible for specific mRNA codon recognition, and the 3' end, to which the tRNAs corresponding amino acid is attached (by aminoacyl-tRNA synthetases). tRNAs cope with the degeneracy of the genetic code in two manners: having more than one tRNA (with a specific anti-codon) for a particular amino acid; and 'wobble' base-pairing, i.e. permitting non-standard base-pairing at the 3rd anti-codon position. Lineage: Eukaryota; Metazoa; Chordata; Mammalia; Rodentia; Caviidae. The record is from Rfam by way of RNAcentral.